GGGGAGACGCUCGUUCUGGAUUUACAGUUUCUCCUCAGACAAGUGUUUCUGUUUUGUGGUCGAUUCUGGGGUAAGUUUCCUUAAAUUCGUGGUUACUUUAUUGAAAUUAGUUCACAGGGAUGUUAAUUCAGUUGUCAGUAUAUGUCGAUACGACUAAUAAAUGAUCAAUUUGAAUGUUUAUCGUUUGUUAGUAAUGUUAGCUCGAGCGCUGUCAGCUUGACUGAGCUCGUCGCGCAGGUGACGAGCAGCUUACGGCUAGCCUGAUUGAGCUCGUGGCACAGCUGUGAGCUAGCAGUUAACAUCCUUUUCUUGGUGUGUCUUGAUGUUUUCUAUUGGCUAAAGACAUGUCUCUGUGAAACUGACAAUAUCAGGUAGGAGCUGCUGGUUUGUGGUUGGCAGUAUGGAUCACGGUCUGCGACUCAUGAGGAGCUGGUCUGGAGACAUGAAGAGGUUGUCAACAGAGGUCUGAAGCUAAUACCUGCCAUGGUCUGAUUGGUAUUUCAUGAGGAAUCAUGGGUUCCUUGGUAUUUGAAUUAUGUUGAACCAGGAAAGUACUCCAUCUUUCGAUCAUGUGUUCUGUCUGCUUACACAUUCCUAGCCAGAAUAACAUUUCGUGCUCUUAGCUUAGACUUCUCAGCGUGUGCGCAUAUCUCAGGUCAGAUAUGACUAUUUUCUAAUCUUCACUGGUCAAUGAAAGUUUGUCUUAAAAGUCAAUAAUGUAUGUGGGAAAUUGUCUCCUCUUUGCAGGCCAUCCAUCCAAGAUCAUCUAUCUGAGCUGCUGAAAACUGCCUCGGUACGGAUCUGUUGGAGCUUUGUGUCACUGACUGAAUUUCUGCAAAUUCCUGUUUCGUGUCAUAUUGCUUAUGCAAGACUGAAUCCAUAAAGGUGAUGGUCUGUGGAGACUGUGGGGGAUUCCUUCUGCUGUCAUUUAAACAUGAGCAGGAGUAAUGACGGGUUUAAAUGGACGCAACUAAUAUUAUGUCAGAGUCCGCUGCUUAUGCUGUAACCAUAAAGCAACCAGGACAACACACCUGGAGUGACCGAGAGCAGGAUGAAGGAGGAAUCGGAUGAGAAAAUGUCAACUGGUGCCCAUGAAGAGACAUAUUGUUCUUGGACCUGCUUUUUAUGUUUAGUAAUAAGUGGUUUUAUGUGGUUAAAAAAAAGUAAUUUAAUAUUAAUAUUUAAUAUUUUAAUAUUCACUCCAAAAUGGUCUAGUAUUGUCACUUAACUUAUGCUGCUUGACUUCUCAGCAUAAAGAUCAUUAUUAAAUUAAUAUUAAAUAUUUCAAAUUUAGAAAUAGGCUACCCCAUGCCAUCUAAUAAAGAAGUGGGUACUCCCUGCGUGUCGUGUACCCAGCACUACACCAUAUGGCAUCAUUGAUGUCUGUUGUAAGUAGAUAUAUAACUGUUAUUAAAUAAUUAUAUUGUAUUUCUUUCUAUUUAAGUCCAAGUUCAAAAUAAAACUCUAUAAACCUCUCCAUUGUGAAAUGGUUUAUAUACAUUCACGGUUUAUAGAGUUUUAUUUUGAACUUGGACAUAAAUACGAAAAAAUAUAAUAUAAUUAUUUAAUAAAAAGUUAUAUAUCUACUAACAGCGGACAUCAAUGAUGCCAUAUGGCCCGGCAUUGAAUUGACCCCUCAGAUCUGAUUUGUGCAUUUUUGUAUUCAUGGUUAAAAUGUUCAACUUUUUGAUUGUAAUAAUAAUUUAACCUUAUCCCCAUAUGGGAUUUAAAAUGUUCAGUGACAUUACUGUCAGAUUCAAACGUCUUUCGCGCUGAGCCAGACGGACGAGCUCAGCGCUGUCAUAUAGCAACAUGCAGUGUUUUCAACCUCAUAAUGUUUAUUUUAGAUUUCAGACAUUUAAAUACACAUAAGCACUGGUAAAACAA
Non-coding RNA from Misgurnus anguillicaudatus (oriental weatherfish), 1887 nucleotides. Lineage: Eukaryota; Metazoa; Chordata; Actinopteri; Cypriniformes; Cobitidae. The record is from RefSeq and is a predicted model, not a curated record.